RNAcentral lists this ribosomal RNA (484 nucleotides) under uncultured bacterium. Its description in RNAcentral is "partial 16S ribosomal RNA". It matches the Rfam family "Bacterial small subunit ribosomal RNA", at positions 30 to 507 of the family's 1533-position model. The record is from RNAcentral.
AUUGAACGCUGGCGGCAGGCCUAACACAUGCGAGUCGAGCGGAUGAAGGGAGCUUGCUCCUGGAUUCAGCGGCGGACGGGUGAGUAAUGCCUAGGAAUCUGCCUGGUAGUGGGGGAUAACGUCCGGAAACGGGCGCUAAUACCGCAUACGUCCUGAGGGAGAAAGUGGGGGAUCUUCGGACCUCACGCUAUCAGAUGAGCCUAGGUCGGAUUAGCUAGUUGGUGGGGUAAAGGCCUACCAAGGCGACGAUCCGUAACUGGUCUGAGAGGAUGAUCAGUCACACUGGAACUGAGACACGGUCCAGACUCCUACGGGAGGCAGCAGUGGGGAAUAUUGGACAAUGGGCGAAAGCCUGAUCCAGCCAUGCCGCGUGUGUGAAGAAGGUCUUCGGAUUGUAAAGCACUUUAAGUUGGGAGGGAGGGCAGUAAGUUAAUACCUUGCUGUUUUGACGUUACCAACAGAAUAAGCACCGGCUAACUUCGUG